GAUGAACGCUAGCGGCAGGCCUAACACAUGCAAGUCGAGGGGCAGCACAUAAAGUGGUUUACUACUUUUGGUGGCGACCGGCGGACGGGUGCGUAACGCGUAUGCAACCUGCCUCCAACAGGGGGAUAACGGAGAGAAAUUUCCACUAAUACCCCAUAAUAUCAGAAUCGGCAUCGGUUUUGGUUGAAAACUCCGGUGGUUGGAGAUGGGCAUGCGUUGUAUUAGAUAGUUGGUGAGGUAACGGCUCACCAAGUCAACGAUACAUAGGGGGACUGAGAGGUUAGCCCCCCACACUGGUACUGAGACACGGACCAGACUCCUACGGGAGGCAGCAGUGAGGAAUAUUGGUCAAUGGGGGCAACCCUGAACCAGCCAUGCCGCGCGCAGGAAGACGGCUCUAUGAGUUGUAAACUGCUUUUACAAGGGGAUAAAUCGGUGUACGUGUACACCGUUGAAGGUACCUUGGGAAUAAGGAUCGGCUAUCUCCGUGCCAGCCGCCGCGGUAA
RNAcentral lists this ribosomal RNA (506 nucleotides) under uncultured bacterium. RNAcentral describes it as "partial 16S ribosomal RNA". It matches the Rfam family "Bacterial small subunit ribosomal RNA", at positions 28 to 523 of the family's 1533-position model. The record is from RNAcentral.